Molecule: long non-coding RNA, 2266 nt
Organism: Gallus gallus (chicken)
Lineage: Eukaryota; Metazoa; Chordata; Aves; Galliformes; Phasianidae
Source: Ensembl
UUUGAGUAAAUUAUAUAAAAGAAUGGUCUCUUACAGUAUCAACACAAAAAACAGCAUCGUUAUUAAAAUCUCUAUUGAGAACUACGUGUUUACUGCAUAUUCUCUAGAAUUUUUUAAAAGACAGAAAAUAAGGAUCUUGUAUUUCAUGUAUAUCAUACUAGGUGGUUAAAAGCGGGGAGGGGGGAGUCAUAAUACUUCUGACUCAGAGUCUUCUGAAAUCUAAUACAGAAAUCACAGCUAAACAAAUAAAUGUAGGACCAACAAUGCCAACAGCGCAUAUAUUGUCCGCAUCACUCCUGGUCUUCAUGAAUAUCUUUAAUCUAAAACAGCAUCUAAAAUCAGUCAAAUCAGAAAGACCUUGCUUCACCAUCUACAUUUUACUCUCUGUUCCUUCAUUAUAGCUAUACAAAAACCAAUUAUGAAAAAGUGAAAAGACUACUUCUUUUCUGCUAUUAACAUCUUUUCAGUAAUUUUUUAUCCCUGAUUUGAAAAUUUCUUCCCACUGCUUGUGCUUCCUUUAGUCAUAAUAAGGAAUCCAAUUCAGAGAGAGCACACAGCUUUUAAGUAAAACUGUAGAUACUACUAUUGCAAACAAUCUAGCAAAACAAAGAAGAUUAUUCAGUAUAAUUCUCUUUUACCUGUUGAUCUUUCCUGAAUAACUAUUGCUUUCCCAUGCUAGGUCAGACUUUUAAAACUUGAUGUUAACUUGUGAUACUAAAUCUAAACUUACAGUUCUUUUUAGGAGAUGCAGAAUUUGUGGGUUUUGUAGGGUUUUGUUUGUUUUUGUUGUUGCCACAGUCUUAUAAUAUGGUUCAAUUGAAAGAAUAUUCUCUCUAUCUCCUCUUUUUUUUCAGUCAUCAUGUUGCAAUAUUCAGAUUGUUCACAUUUGCCUCAAACAUACGGUUUGCUUGAUUAGAUGAUAAAAUAAGAAAAUGUUCCAUAGAUCAUAGCAUAGCCUGCUUCAAUCCUGUCCUGUUAGUUUACUUCUACCUUUCUGUUCUCUACUUCUGAAAUUGUGUUUAUUCUGAAAUGUUAUAUUUAUUAUAAAUCUGUUUAUCUUAUUUGCAGAAUCAACUAAUUACAACCCAUCAAAUUAAACUUCAUCACAAACUUUUUUUUCUUUUCAGGGAAAAGGAUACUGUUGUAUAUAGACAGCUGUGAUUUUUAAUCCAUGUUUGACAUUACAUUCAACAUUUUACUCUCAAUUCAGUGUGUUUUGACAGCAGCAGAAAUUGCAUGAUACAUCUGCAGAGAUGCAUUUCUGUGUUACAAAUGUGUUUUUUAAUGUGUUAUAUUUUCAUGACUGAGCUCGUGACUGAGUCAUGACUGAGCUCCUUUUGCACUUAGCAGUUUAGUAAUUAUGAUCAAACUCUGACCCUUGUAGCGAUGCGCUUUGCAUUUUUAUGAUUCUUUUUCACAUGAUUUCGAUGCCCUGUUGUGUUUUUUUUUAAAUUCUUGAGUCCCACAACAGUAGCAAAGCAUCAAUCCUUCAUAAUUUUGUCAACAUAGGUUACAGAAGUAAAAGUUAUUAAUUAAGAGACAAUUCCUGUUCACACAUCUUCAGAAUGAUAGGGGAACUGGGAGGAAGACCUCUUAGCACAUAGGUUGCAAACGUACAGAGUUAGACAAGUGUGGGCAAAACUUUCACUGAAACUCACGAGCUGUCUGUCUGCAUCAAGCUAUCUGUAGCUCAGAGAUGUAAAUAUAUACAUAUACACACAUAUGAUUGGUCUUGAUGCAUUAAUUUUGCAUAAACUAGGAAGGACCUUUACACAUUUUCUUUGUUUUUCUAUUUUGUUUUUCCAUUACAUUUAAUUUUCACUGGCUAUUUUUCCAGUUAGAGGCAGUCAUAAGGUAAUUAUUUUAAAAAUUUUUAGCAGGAGCUGCUGUCUUGUCUACAUUGUAACAUGUCUCAUAAGGUUUUAUUCCAGCAAAGCACCCUGAUACCAAUUUCAGUGGAAAAGAAAGUAAGCAAACAUAAAUAACUGAAGUUCAGUGAUUAGUUUUUUGCUUUUUUUUAUUAUUAUUUUAUUUCAAAGUUCAACAUGCAUUUACGUUCUUUUUUCUAGGGGUGAAUGAAUAAAUACCAAGAAAAUCAGAUGUAUGUGAUUUAUUGGUAAGAACACUGAAAUGUAAACUAAAAUAAUUUUUGAGUAGAAGGCAAGAGGCAUAGUAUUAUUAAAGGAACUGUAACUCUUUGUCAGACACAAAAGAAUAAGACCCCAAAAUAUUUAAAUAUGAAAUUUUAGAAAGCCCUGGAAAGGAG